RNAcentral lists this long non-coding RNA (824 nucleotides) under Olea europaea (common olive). RNAcentral describes it as "long non-coding RNA (OEUR_LNC004356)". The record is from RNAcentral. Lineage: Eukaryota; Viridiplantae; Streptophyta; Magnoliopsida; Lamiales; Oleaceae.
AAGCGAUUCACAAGUUUUGGGAGCUAAAUCCAACAUUUAAAAAGGUUAGGAACUUAAUUGAAUACCUUUGGAACUUGUAUCAGAUUGAUUAUGAAUGAUUGAGGAAUGUCAUGAACCAAAUUAAAUUGAAUUAAAGCUGAAGGACCAAGAUUCAAAGAAGAAAAGAUGCAGAUUGAACAUAAGACGAAAUAUGCAGAUCAAAUUGUACAUGCUGAAAACUUACAAGGCGAUGAUUGCAAUUCUCCAAGGACUGUGAUCAAGUAGAGCCCAAAACUGUUCAACUCUUCAAUUAAGUUAUUUUUGAGUUAAUUAUUGCCAUAGUUGAAUUUUAUUUAUUUAUUUUUUCUUUUCUUUUCUUUUUCUCUUUAGCUACUUAUUUUUCUUGGAAGACACAUAGCAUGUGAUAACAUUCAUUGUAAGGCUUAAUAGAGGCUAGGAAUAAUGUCUAACUCAUGCAUGAUCCAAUUGAUGUUCUUGUGCUUUUAAUAAUUGCUUUGUCCUUCCACUAAUGUAGUCAAUAAUGAAGCUGAGGGCCAAUCUUUUUGUUUGGCAGGGUCAGAAUGGAGAAAAUUGUUCCUCAUCUGUGAAGAAAAUAGGAGAGACCAACAAACAGAUUUCAUAUUUCGAAAUCCUCUUUCAUCUAGAUGCUUUAGAUCCCACCAAAUUUUUCCAUUUUGAUCUCGGAGGAACUUUUAUAUGGAAGUUGUACACAUCAAUGAUAUAUAUACAAGUACAUGUCUCAACAUGAAUCAUUUCUACCAUUUUCACCUUUAAAUAUAAUGAAGUUACAGUGCUGGAAACCCAUGCAGAAUCACUUAUCANNN